UACGUAGGGUGCAAGCGUUGUCCGGAAUUAUUGGGCGUAAAGAGCUCGUAGGCGGUUUGUCGCGUCUGCUGUGAAAACUCGGGGCUUAACCCCGGGCCUGCAGUGGGUACGGGCAGACUAGAGUGCGGUAGGGGAGACUGGAAUUCCCGGUGUAGCGGUGAAAUGCGCAGAUAUCGGGAGGAACACCAGCGGCGAAGGCGGCACUCUGGGCUGGAACUGACGCUGAGGAGCGAAAGCGUGGGUAGCAAACAGG
RNAcentral lists this ribosomal RNA (253 nucleotides) under uncultured bacterium. RNAcentral's name for it is "partial 16S ribosomal RNA". It matches the Rfam family "Bacterial small subunit ribosomal RNA", at positions 524 to 776 of the family's 1533-position model. The record is from RNAcentral.